Molecule: ribosomal RNA, 254 nt
Filed under: uncultured bacterium
Lineage: Bacteria
Description: partial 16S ribosomal RNA
Rfam family: Bacterial small subunit ribosomal RNA
Source: RNAcentral
UACGGGGGGAGCAAGCGUUGUUCGGAUUUACUGGGCGCAAAGGGCGCGUAGGCGGUCAGCACAAGUCAGUUGUGAAAUCUCCGGGCUUAACUCGGAAAGGUCAACUGAUACUGUGCGACUAGAGUGCAGAAGGGGCAACUGGAAUUCUCGGUGUAGCGGUGAAAUGCGUAGAUAUCGAGAGGAACACCUGCGGCGAAGGCGGGUUGCUGGGCUGACACUGACGCUGAUGCGCGAAAGCCAGGGGAGCGAACGGG